Molecule: ribosomal RNA, 253 nt
Filed under: uncultured bacterium
Lineage: Bacteria
Description: partial 16S ribosomal RNA
Rfam family: Bacterial small subunit ribosomal RNA
Source: RNAcentral
UACAGAGGGUGCAAGCGUUAAUCGGAAUUACUGGGCGUAAAGCGCGCGUAGGUGGUUUGUUAAGUUGGAUGUGAAAUCCCCGGGCUCAACCUGGGAACUGCAUUCAAAACUGACAAGCUAGAGUAUGGUAGAGGCGAGUGGAAUUCCCAGUGUAGCGGUGAAAUGCGUAGAUAUUGGGAAGAACACCGGUGGCGCAGGCGACUCGCUGGGCUGUAACUGACGCUGAGGAACGAAAGCCAGGGGAGCAAACAGG